This is a long non-coding RNA of Cyprinus carpio carpio, 1686 nucleotides long. NCBI's taxonomy places the organism in Eukaryota, Metazoa, Chordata, Actinopteri, Cypriniformes, Cyprinidae. The record is from Ensembl.
CUUUUAGUUUUAGCUCUUAGCUUUUAGCCAUGCUUUUUUUCAUUACAUUUUGCGUUCUUUGAGCUAUGUUCCAGCGUGCUUGGACCUGCACGUCUGCUGCUACUUAGCCACGAUGAGAAGAAACACCACUUAAGCUGUGUUCCAAAGUUGAGUGUGCACACUUCGAAGGCCAAGGACUUCGAAGACCAGGCCUCCGAAACCAGACCCCUGUACUGCAGGAUAAAGCUGAAUGUGGCAGCGCUGGACAGGUUUUUAAUGGUUUUGUUCUGAGCAGCGAGGCCCUGAAAGUGCUGCUUGAUCUUCAGAGCAGUGCCACAAUCCAGACCCUGGUGUUUUUCUUCUGUCUGCCAGUGGUACAUCAUACAGAGUGGUCUCCAGAGUGUUUGACAUGUGCCUCGUUCCACUGUCCACCACACUGUCCUCCGAGUCGCUGAGGAGGUGCUGGUCAUUCACCAAGAGAUUGACCUCCUGAAGACCCCAGAACACAUGGAGGCAGGGCUGGGCGUAAACUGAUGUUGUUUUUCUGAUGUUAAACCUAAGCUAUGUUGUAAAUGGUUAUAAAAAGUACUUUCAGUUAUAGCUCGACUAUGCCACCCAAUGAAAGAGCUGGGUCUCUAUUAAAUAAAAUAACCUUAUCUUUUACUUGCAAGUUCCUUUAGUUUGGUGGGAGCAACACAACAGAUCUACCCAGACAACAGUUUCGAUAUAAAAAUAUAAUUUAUUAUCUCUAAUUACAACAGUAAAAAAGGGGUGUGUAAUGCGCACAAGCACUCUCUCACUCAAGCUUAAAAGCUGGACACGACAAACACAUUCCAAAAAUCCACUGGAAGUCCUUAGCUAGGUGCCCACAGUCCAUAAGCGGUUCCUUAACACAAGUUCGUCUCUCGCCAGGCAGUGGCGUCUACACAGCAGGCCACCUGUCAAUCACUCGCACACACCAACACAACACUCACACAAACAAAAAGAAAGCCGCCAGUAUCUCCACAGUAGAUAAUAAACACAGCAUAGCACAACACCACAGUAGAAGAGUUAUCAAUCGUGCAAUACCCAAUUAAAAUCACUGCAAUUCGUGAAUAUACACAAGCUAUAUAUAUUAUCUAAAUAUAUAAAUAUAUAUUAUAUCUAAAUAAUUAUGACUACGGCUGACAGACUGGAACUCUCCAAUUUAGGUGAGAUGUGGAUCUUAACUUCGGACGAGACAAGGCAGCAUAACUUAACACAGGGCAUCACUCACCAAUAAACUGGGAGCAGACGAAUCUGACUCCCAGUCCUGUUGGACAGCACUCCACAAAAACCACUGGACCAGGACGGACAAGGCAGGCUCCGGACAGCACAGCAAGGAACGGCAGCAACCUUAGCGCAGCACAGGAGAAGACGAAGACACACAGCAGCCACCGAGUUGAUAGCAAGACCGGCACAUCAACAACUUUGGGCUUCGACACAAGCAGACAAUAAUCAAAUGCAACAAUCGUGGCAACAAAAUAAGUCAAUCGCAACUACCAUCCAGCAGUAAAAACGUGGGGAACAGAGCAGCAACAAGCAGAGUUCACGGGGUAACAGGCACCUGUUUUAAUUCCUUCGCUGUUUUUGAACAGUCUGUGAUUUGGGAUGGCAAUUACCAACAGCUGUCUAUCCGCUAAUCAGAUAUGGUCCGAGCCCUAGGAGAACACGGGGGCGUCACCCCAC